Lolium perenne is the source of this 1268-nucleotide long non-coding RNA. RefSeq lists it as uncharacterized. NCBI's taxonomy places the organism in Eukaryota, Viridiplantae, Streptophyta, Magnoliopsida, Poales, Poaceae. The record is from RefSeq and is a predicted model, not a curated record.
CCCCUCUGGAAACCCUAGCUUCCCUCCCCAUCUCCCGUCUUCGCGCCGCCACCCUCUUCCCCCUCCCCUUUUAUUUCUUCUCUGCAAACCACCGAGAGCCUCCGCCACCGGCCGCCGUUGGCCCCGUCGCUACGGACCUUCCCUCGCCGUUCUGAGGGCACCAUCGGGUGCGCCUCGUCUUACUCUACCUCAUGCUGCAAGGAAUCGACCCCGGGCCCCUCAAUUUGACGCCAAAUCGCGGUUCCCUUCUCCGACUCCGGCGGCGUCUGUCGUCGAUUCUGGCGCCGUUCGCCCACCUCCGGCCAUGCCGACCCCUUCUCGAGCUUCAGGGUCUCUGACGUCGGCAGCCCUCCGGUGAGCCCCUCCACGCGCCACCGUCUCCAUCUUGUCCGCGCCGCCAAGGCGUACCCCCGACGGUCAUCGACGCCUCCUGGAACCAGCUACAUCACCCGCACGCGCCGUGCCGUCUUGCAGAUGGUCACCGCCGUCCCGCGCGGCAUCCCUCCGUCGAACACGUUCCGUGCAGCCGCGCAAGCUUCGCCACGGUGUCAGCCACGCUGGCAUCGCGGGCCCCUUCGUCAGUCUCUGUGGCUCAACUUUGUUUCGAUCCAGCCAACGUCCAUGUCAGCAGCGCCCGGGCCCGCGCGUCAGUGACCCAGGCUGUCUUCCCCUUCGCAUUUGCUUCUUCUCGGAUAGGAUCACGAAGUGUUAAUGUGAGAUACGUCGAGUUCUCCGACAAGUUCUUCUGCAGCUUUCACAGGCGAGCCCACCCCUUCACCUAUUUUACUUUUACAUGCUCUUUUGAUCUAUUGCUAUCCUUAUGUUGCGAUUCUGUUGUGUCACGUGUCCUAUCCACCUGUUACCUAUAUGUCCGAGAUACACCUCCUCGCCCUACCUAUUGUUUGUUGUUUGCCAGCUUUGCGAGUCGUAGGCGAGUUUAGGGUCUUGUUGAUAUCUCGAGAUGUUCGGGAUAUCUUGUUGGGAAGUUGACACAUGUACCACCUUUUGAAAAUGAUGUUGAUAACUUUUGCUACAACUAAAAUUGCUAAGGGAUAAUAACAUUGCAGAGGCAUCUGUGAGCUCCUUUGCGAAAGCAUUGGAACUUUGACUCGCUAAUGUCCCCUAGGACCCGAGUUCUUGUUAUCUGUUCCGAGAUUGAGCGCUCUACCCAUGCGUGGGGACGAUUAUUGGGACCCCCCCUCACCCAUUACCUUUUCUCAAGUCAGUUGAAAAGGGGGCCACAACCUUGGUUUUAUUUGCCUAUGCCA